Molecule: long non-coding RNA, 635 nt
Organism: Topomyia yanbarensis
Lineage: Eukaryota; Metazoa; Arthropoda; Insecta; Diptera; Culicidae
Exons: 2
Source: RefSeq, a predicted model, not a curated record
UUGUUGGAUAUCUACAAGGAAUAGAACUAUCCACUAUUCAGAGUCAUUGAGAGAAUGCUACUCAGUGUGGUAACCCGUCCGGCAAAGUCGUUGUUCGAUCAGCUAACCAUUCUGGUAAAACUACCAGCAGCUACUAUCUACAUUAUCACCAAGGGCGUUUUCCUAAUAGUUAACACGCUAACAAAAUUUGGGCGAAUGAUGAACCAGUGAUAGGAUGGAAAUGAUGGUGCGAUAACAAGUGGUGUGUGUGGCAUAAAAAAUUAGAUCGAUUCCAUCGUCGCAAUUUUGGCACUAUGUGGAAAGUUUUUGUCAGAUUUUAUUUUUUUGCCAGAUUGUGAUGUUAGAUUACACGUAAAAACAUAUGUACAAAUUCGGCGGCAAUGAAAAUAUGUGUAAUAACGUGAAUUUAUGCUUGCCAAUAUAUCUGCUAUUUGUAAUUAAUCUCUAGGAUGUAAAUGGUCUUAGUGAAUGUUAGUAGUAUGACAUAUACUUGCGCAAAUUUUGUAUGUGCAAUGCAUUGCCGGAGAUGAAUUUAUAUUGUAGGGAUGAUCAAAAUGCUAAAGUGAGCAUAGCUUUUCGUCACAAGUAGAUGUGAUACAACUUGUUCUUUCCAAUAAAAUGUUUUAAACUUAAAA